Molecule: long non-coding RNA, 242 nt
Organism: Acanthopagrus latus (yellowfin seabream)
Lineage: Eukaryota; Metazoa; Chordata; Actinopteri; Spariformes; Sparidae
Exons: 3
Source: RefSeq, a predicted model, not a curated record
UGACGGCUCAAAUUAGCAAAUGAAAACGGCAUUAAAUAAUUAUGACUAGCGUUCGGCACGAGCCCGGUGUAGUGCUCUUCACGGCAGCAACUGAUAAAACAGGUCCUGGACUGAGGAAGCUAACAUGAAGAGCAUUUUCCUGAUGCUUAAAGGAAGUAUUCAGGCGCAUGAACGGGAUGGUGGUUCAAUAUUGUCCCCUGCCUUCAUGAUUCAAGUUGUAUUUUAGUAAAGUAACUACUGUG